AUCAAUGAUGAGAAAACUACACGAGCCAAAAUGUGUUAAGUAUGAUACAACACAUGAUUGUUAAUGAUAGGCCUGAUUU
RNAcentral lists this small nucleolar RNA (79 nucleotides) under Bombyx mori (domestic silkworm). RNAcentral's name for it is "Bm_38". The record is from RNAcentral. Lineage: Eukaryota; Metazoa; Arthropoda; Insecta; Lepidoptera; Bombycidae.